Molecule: ribosomal RNA, 305 nt
Filed under: uncultured bacterium
Lineage: Bacteria
Description: partial 16S ribosomal RNA
Rfam family: Bacterial small subunit ribosomal RNA
Source: RNAcentral
ACAGCAGUCGCCGCGGGAACACAGAGGGUGCGAGCGUUAAUCGGAAUUACUGGGCGUAAAGGGCGCGUAGGCGGUGAGAUGUGUGUGGUGUGAAAGCCCCGGGCUUAACCUGGGAAGUGCAUCGCAAACUAUCUGACUGGAGUAUAUGAGAGGGUGGCGGAAUUUCCGGUGUAGCGGUGAAAUGCGUUGAGAUCGGAAAGAACGCCAACGGCGAAAGCACUCUGCUGGGCCGACACUGACACUGAGAGACGAAAGCUAGGGGAGCAAAUAGGAUUAGAUACCCCUGUAGUCCCUGUCUCUUAUAC